CAAUUUAAAAUUUCUUUUAUUGACCUAACAGCAGUACAAACAUCUGUAUAACAAUUAACAAGUCACAACAUUGUAAAGAAUAUAAAUAAAUGUUCAAUAUUAUGUCAUCUCAAAACAAAGGUAUUACUGUAGUUUCAUAACAUGGAAAAUAUCCAUAAUUGAUAGAAAUAGACUAUGUAAAUGAGUCAAAAUCUCCCUGCCACCUUUUGUCAAUGUUUGGUCCUGUAAUGGCCAUGGGAUAUCAUGAGCCAAAAUUCCAGAUAAAAUCAGAAUAGUUAGAUAUGCACCCACAGAAGUUUUGACAUACACCAUAAGAAUCAAAUAUUUGUUUUGAAUAGUCAUAAAAUCUGGUAGAUUGGUUGCCACUUAAAAUAAGUCAGAAAGAAGUGUUUUUAAGCUUUUUGAAGUUAUCAAUUUUUGAAUUUUCAGCUUGUAACAUUUUCGACCCAUUUUUAAACAAAUAAAAUGAUAGAUUUCUAUAUCAUAUAUAUUGUCCUUGAAUUUCUUUUACAGUUUUCAUACUACUGACUUAGGUAGUCAUGCAGUUAUUUUAAACAUAAUCUCAUAUGAAAUAGUAAACAAUACAACAAUCUUAAUAAACAUGAUAAAGAUAUUAAUAAUAAAGAAAUAAUACAGAAAUAUUUUUUGUAUAAUAAUAAAUAAGAUUGUAUAUAAAUGUAUACAACAAAACUUUAAAACAAUGGAAUUACAUCACACACAAAAAUAGUUCAUUAGGCAGAGACACAUCACAGAUAGACGAGGAAUUCAAAAGAUCAGUCAUUUGUUCAAAUAUUUUAACAUAGAAAAAAAA
Molecule: long non-coding RNA, 811 nt
Filed under: Mytilus galloprovincialis (Mediterranean mussel)
Lineage: Eukaryota; Metazoa; Mollusca; Bivalvia; Mytilida; Mytilidae
Source: RNAcentral